RNAcentral lists this ribosomal RNA (382 nucleotides) under uncultured eukaryote. RNAcentral's name for it is "partial 18S ribosomal RNA". It matches the Rfam family "Eukaryotic small subunit ribosomal RNA", at positions 592 to 976 of the family's 1831-position model. The record is from RNAcentral.
UGUAAGCGUAUACCAAAGUUGUUGCAGUUAAAACGCUCGUAGUCGGAAUUUGGCAGUUCCGGAUGUGUGCACGUCGUGUGCGCACUUCGCGGGGAUUGCUUUUGUGGUCUUGCGUAGGAUGAGGCACUUUUAUUAGUGAACGUCCUCACGCAACCACUUUUUACUGUGAGAAAAUCAGAGUGCUCAAAGCAGGCAUUUGCCGUGAAUGUAUUAGCAUGGAAUACUAGAAUAGGACUUGGUUCUAUUUUGUUGGUUUGUUGGGACUGAGUAAUGAUUAAGAGGGACAGUUGGGGGCAUUUGUAUUUCGGUGCUAGAGGUGAAAUUCUUAGAUUACCGAAAGACAAACUGCUGCGAAAGCGUCUGCCAAGGAUGUUUUCAUUGA